UUCGAAAUCUCUCUUUCCAAAAAAGAAAAAAGAAAAGAAAAGGAAAGAAAAAAAAGUUCUAUUUUGGUUCUUUUUAUUGUUUAAGAGUGUUCAACAACCAAGAUCCAUCGUCAAUUUAGUCUUUAAUGGCUUCAAAGAAUCAGAUGGUCAUGAUCUAUCAAUGCUAAUAGAUUCUCAACUUUCGAAAUUUGUUCCUUUACUACUAUUAUUGUGAUCAUUAUGUAGAAGAUUCUUGCUUAUUUGUCAGUUUAUUUUAUGACAUCUACACUUCUUUCUAGGCCUACUGAGACGGCCUAAGUGGGGGCAUUUAAAGGAUCUACAUCCAGCUAUAAAACUCUGUGAACCAGCACCUUUAGUUGUUGUUGACGAUGCGCCAGAAUAUAUAAAAUUGGGACAAAAGCAAGAGGUGGGCAACUAGCUACUGAUACUCGUUGAUGAUUAGUUCAUUAAAUUGUUCAUGCUAAAUACGGAAUAUCUAUUUAAUUCAGUUGGCAUUUUCUGGUAUCAUUUUCUUAGAACCAUAUGAGUAAUUCAGAUUUAUUUCCCAAACUAAAAUGAUCAUGAAAAGGCAUUCUAUUAAGCUUCUGAAAAUUUGUUUUCACUGGUAAGAAUGAUCUGUCAUCCUUCGAUGUGCUCCAUUAGAUAAAAGUUUUCUUAAUAUUUCUGACAUGGGUUUCUCUUAUCUUCUGAUUUUUCUACAAUUGAUUCAGAAUUUCCUUCUUACUUGAAUUGGGUUCUUAUUUUUCUUUCUUAAUGUUGUUCCCAUGUCCAAGUGGGGAAUGAUGCAAUGCCUGCUUUGAUUAGCUCACAUAACUUAUUUAGAUUAAUUCUUGCUUCCUACAACUGCCCCAUGUACCUACUAAAAAGCUAAAACUAUUCAUCUCUAAGAUUCUCGAAACAUCAAUUUUUGUUUCCUAGUGAUCUUCUUCUUUCCUAGAAAUGAAUACACUUCUUUUGUUCUUUUUUAUAUCUUCUAAUUUGAUAUUAACAUUGAGAUUUAUUUCAGGUUGAGUACAAUGACAGCCAAAAUGCAAGCAAGCAAGAUUCCCUACUUUCAAGUAUAGAAGUGGCAGAACAGCAGAUUCUGUUAUUCUCCACCUCGUAUUUUCUUUAUGAAAUCUCUUUUAGCAUAUCAUUUCUGAUAAAGAAUUCAAUUUGUCAAACACAUCUUUUCAACGUUAUAUCAUAUUGUUAUUGAUUUUUCCUUUGGGAGUUAACAUUGCUUGCUGCCCAAAACAUCUACACUGAACACUUGACACGCUAUCAACUCCCUGUAGCCUCAUCAAUGAUAUGUUGGAGCAGGUUCCUACCAACGUUUGUAGGAUGCACACGUGUAAUCAUGCACUCAAUCUUCUGUUACUUUUCUUUUAAAAAAACAAAAAACAAAAAACAAAAUUAAAGAGGAAUUUUUCUUUCUUCUAGGUUUUCCUUGUCCAAUCAAAAUUUUGGAUCUGAGAUUUUUGCUGGUAUGAAGUGUCCAGCCCAUUUGAGACAACUCAUAAAAGUCUCUUGAGCUGCUUUGGAACUUCUUGGAGUUUUAACUAUGCCUUCUUUUUGAGAUUUCUAAUUUUCUAUUAAAAACUCUAAAUUAGAACCCAUUGAUGAUUUACCUGUAACUAAUGAUGGAAGAAAUCAAUCAAAGAUGAGAGAGGAUACCUUUUAAAAUGAAAUAUCUUUUCUAGUGCCCCCAGGGAAAUAUUAUUCCCUUAUGUUUCUUUGAGUUUCUGUCCAGUUCCACCUCUUUCAUAAAAUGAAAAUCAAACCCAUUUUCUCCUAGGAAACAUGUUUCCUGCUUUGUAGAUGGUUUUCUGCAACUAAGGCACAGCCUCACUUCAUGCCUCUUUAAACUUUCAAGGACCGAACUUUUGAUCAGGAGAUACCAAUGUUGGCUUUCUUCAUGCCCAUUUUAAGUACAGAUGCUGAAUAUUUCUUUGAUUUCUUUGUUUUUUUUUCAAUAGUACUACUGUUGGUAGAUCUCAUGUAUGAUAUUAGGGAGAUUUUCUGCAACAAAUGAAUCCAUCAUUGGGAGACAAUCUACAGAAUCGGCUUUGGCCAAAUAUACCUGAGCAAACCUAUGAUGACGGAGUCGGAUGGAGAAACUGCAACUUUGUUCCCAAAGGCUGCAAGGCUGAGGAACCUGACUUCCUUACUCUGCACAACAUGGCCCGUGUUUUGGACAGUCCAGAUUGGUGGUAUGUAUGCUGCUUUACAGUAGGUGAGUUGCAGCAUGCAAAUGGCAUCAGGCCAGAUUUACCUGCAAUUGUUUUUUUUUUUUUUUUAAAACCCAGUGGUGAAAGUGGGCAGGAAAAACUGAAACAGCAAUACUUACAAUGGCUACGGAUUGUUGGUAACCAUAGGAUCUAUUGCUAUGGAUUUUAUUCAUAGCAUUUUCUCAUUUUCGCCCAAUGCAAUAAAUAACCGACGAUUUAGGGGCA
Magnolia sinica is the source of this 2435-nucleotide RNA transcript. RefSeq lists it as uncharacterized. The record is from RefSeq and is a predicted model, not a curated record. Lineage: Eukaryota; Viridiplantae; Streptophyta; Magnoliopsida; Magnoliales; Magnoliaceae. The transcript is spliced from 2 exons.